Molecule: unclassified non-coding RNA, 280 nt
Filed under: Minimedusa polyspora
Lineage: Eukaryota; Fungi; Basidiomycota; Agaricomycetes; Cantharellales; Hydnaceae
Description: partial internal transcribed spacer region
Rfam family: Eukaryotic small subunit ribosomal RNA (bases 1-46)
Source: RNAcentral
AAGUCGUAACAAGGUUUCCGUAGGUGAACCUGCGGAAGGAUCAUUAAUGAAUUUUGGAGUUCUACUGUGCCUGCCGUUCAUUUGGAUGUGUGCACGUAGUCUCUAUAAAUCCUUAUCAACACCUGUGCACCUUUAAAAAGGGGGAAACUGAUUAAGCUUUUUACGGGCUUAUGAGGAAUAACCUUUUUUCUUAUACAAACUCUUAAUGUCUAUUAGAAUGUUCUCUGGCCGCAAGGCUAUAAAAUAUAAACAACUUUUAAGAACGGAUCUCUUGGCUCUC